This 1381-nucleotide long non-coding RNA is filed under the name Junco hyemalis (dark-eyed junco). RNAcentral's name for it is "lncRNA (ENSJHYG00000014582.1)". The record is from RNAcentral. Lineage: Eukaryota; Metazoa; Chordata; Aves; Passeriformes; Passerellidae.
UGGGGAAGCUGGAGCAGUAGAAUAUCUACAGCUUCAAACACAGUGACUCAGUGCAGGUGAAAAAUUCUUUUGGGCAGGGUGGUGGGAUUGAAAAGCAAGCACAGAUCUGCAUCCCUCUUUUCUGACUGCUCUUUGAUCACCUCUGGUAGGAAUAGGAUCACCUCUGAGCAACGUCUUGUUCCCCCAUCAAUGUCACAGAGCACAUUCUCCAUUUCUCCAAAUUUGCCUGGUAAAGCCAGUAGCAACAUGUUAAACCUUCUCAACAGAAUAUAUGGAUGCAUCUGUUUUCUUCUCCAAGUUAUCUUCAUACUGGUAGAGCUCAGAAACUCUCACUGUGCAGAGAGGGCUCUUCCAGCAGCUCCCCGUGCCUCUCUGACCCCAGCCUGGUGCCCUUUUCACUGUAUGAUGAUGAAAAUUGAGGGAUUGAAUGUUUACAGUGUUCACAGUGACCACAACUUGAAAUAGCACCAUGGAAAGAGUCAUCAGCUGUAGAAACAAUACAAGGAAAACAAGCCUUCAUCAGAGAUGGAAAUCAGCAGGUGUGAUGGACCCUAAAUGUACCCUCAUGUACCUAAGGGAGGGAGACUUUUCUUUCACACGAUGUGUGUUUGUAGCCACAGCUCAAAGGGCCUGUGCCAAAGGAAUGGGAGAUCACUGAGAUCCUGAGAUCACUGAAGAACCUGUGAAGAACACAAUGCUAAUUUCAGACUUGAGCCUCCUCCUUCUGGCAAUAGUGUCUGCUGGUUUCACCUUGCACACCUCCAGAAUGAGAGCUGCCACCUUGAUACCAGGCAGGAGAUAAACCACUGCCCUGCUACUGUUCUGGAGGCACUGUUUACUAGCACACUUGGACUCACUUUCUGCAUGUGUUUAUUCAGAGCAGUCACAUGCUUCAGCAAAGAUCAGAGUUGAUUUAUGUCUGCUGAAAACCCCCUGAAUAUCAGUUAUUGAUUAAAUUCUUGUUAUCAUUUGGAAUAGAUUGCUGUGCUAAGGCAGCUCUUGGCACACUCAGUGGGAUUUGCCUGGGACUGUGCUAAAGCUUGGUCAAUACCAUGCUGAAAUUAAGUACUGCUUCAUUGUACUUUGCUUUCUGCUCAGGAGACAUUUAUGAGAGUUCAAAAUGUAAACAUGAAAUUCUGACUGCAGAUAAGACUUAUCCAGAAAUAUGUGUUAUCUGCUCAGCUGUUUGUGUGAAUCUGCCUUUCUGUGCCUUUGUCACUUUGAAAUUUUAUCUCUCUUUUAUGUUUUAAUAGUGGCCAUAUUAGUAACCAAUUUACUGCAGGGAGCAUGUCCUUCAACAGUGAAACACACAGGGCUGUGCAACCCAGAGAGGGAUGAACAAAAUGGCAAAAAAUAAACCUUUCUCUAUAGAACUGUCCCA